Molecule: ribosomal RNA, 525 nt
Filed under: bacterium enrichment culture
Lineage: Bacteria
Description: bacterial SSU rRNA
Rfam family: Bacterial small subunit ribosomal RNA
Source: RNAcentral
UGAGGAAUAUUGGGCAAUGCCCGCAAGGGUGACCCAGCAAUGCCGCGUGGAGGAUGAAGGUCGUAAGAUUGUAAACUCCUUUGGAGGGGGAAGAAAAACUGAGUCUAAAGGGCUCAGGUUGGCUGUACCCAUAGAACAAGCCCCGUAUAUCUGCGUGCCCGCAGGCGCUAUAAUAGGUAGGGGGCGAGCGUUGUCCGGAUUUACUGGGUGUAAAGGGCGCGCAGGUGGGUUUGUAAGUCAGAGGAGAAAGCCUGGAUCUCAACUCCAGAACUCCCUUUGAAACUACAUAUGUUGAGUGCAGAAGAGAGAAGCAGGAAUUCCGAGGUGUAGUAAUGAAAUAAGUAGAUAUCUGGAAGAACACCUAGUUGAGAAGGCGUUUUUUUGGUCUGUCACUGACAGUGAGGCGAGAAAGCGUGGGGAGCACACAGGAUUAGAGCCCGUGGUAGUACACGCAGUAAGCUGAUGAAUACUAGAUGUCGGGUUUUUACUCGGUGUCGCAGCUAACGCAUUAAGUAUCCACCCCUG